This is a long non-coding RNA of Mauremys mutica (yellowpond turtle), 8466 nucleotides long. RefSeq lists it as uncharacterized. The transcript is spliced from 6 exons. Lineage: Eukaryota; Metazoa; Chordata; Testudines; Geoemydidae. The record is from RefSeq and is a predicted model, not a curated record.
GCUGAGCGACCCCCCUUUAAGAAGGGUUGAGGUCUCUGUGGGUUUCAACUCCUGAGGGCCUAGCCUUUAAAAUGCCCGGUGCCAUUGACCUCUCCCUGUAAGAAGGGUGCAGGUCUCCCCUUUCUAGCUUGUCUUGGGCCGUUGGCACUCGCUGGGCAACGAGACCACCCUCUCCUGAGGGAACGGAGGCCUCUCCUUCACUGCGCUUUUCGCUCUGGCCCAUUGGAACGCCCCUGGCUUCGGGACCACCCUGUAAGGAGGGUUUGGGUCUCCUUUCCCCCGCCAAUUAAGCCACAGGUCACUUUGACACGCCAGGAAAAUGACUGCCCUGUAACCAGGGUGUAAGGUCUUAUUCCUCUCACGCUUAAACUAGGGGAGCCUUUUUGUGCCUGUGGCUGAGCGACCCCCCUUUAAGAAGGGUUGAGGUCUCUGUGGGUUUCAACUCCUGAGGGCCUAGCCUUUAAAAUGCCCGGUGCCAUUGACCUCUCCCUGUAAGAAGGGUGCAGGUCUCCCCUUUCUAGCUUGUCUUGGGCCGUUGGCACUCGCUGGGCAACGAGACCACCCUCUCCUGAGGGAACGGAGGCCUCUCCUUCACUGCGCUUUUCGCUCUGGCCCAUUGGAACGCCCCUGGCUUCGGGACCACCCUGUAAGGAGGGUUUGGGUCUCCUUUGCCACGCCAAUUAAGCCACAGGUCACUUUGACACGCCAGGAAAAUGACUGCCCUGUAACCAGGGUGUAAGGUCUUAUCCCUCUCACGCUUAAACUAGGGGAGCCUUUUUGUGCCUGUGGCUGAGCGACCCCCCUUUAAGAAGGGUUGAGGUUCUGUUUCUCUUAGUCACAGUAAAAUCCCCCGGAAUGAUUUCUACUUGGCUUUUUUGAGAUUUGAAGUGAAAUCUUACUUGUGACCUAUCCCGCUCACAUGGAACAUGGUGUGGCGAAGGGCCGGCUGUAAGGGGAUGGUGGAGGCCGUGGAAAAUUCGCCCCUUUUCUCAAAAAAGCCAAGAAAUGGCCCAACCAUGCUAAUGUCACAAAGUCUGGAAAUAAACAGGUGAGGUUUGGGAUACAGACCCUCACUUCCACGUGAUCCUUCCUCAAGUCCUCUUGCCCUGCCCAAUUUACACUGCUCAACCAACCACAACUUUGACCCUUUGUUUUCUUGUGCACAAGAAAGACACGGUUGGACUGAUGAGUGUUAACUGUAGAGAUUCGGACAGCUGCCUUAGUCGGGUCCGAAUUCCAGGCCUUGCGUCUCUUUGCUGAGAGACGGAGGAGAUUCCUAGGGCUAUGUUUGAAGGGCUUGAUGUGGCUCACGUGGUGUAGGUAGGUGUGGUGGUAUUCAGAGCCGGCACGUGGGUGCACCUAACCCUACUAACAGGACUGCGUCACAAGGAAGAGGUGUCUUUUUUUUCUGGUCAAGGUUACGGGGCACAAAGUUGUCAUUUUCUUGGUGGGGUAGGAAGGUAAGUCGGGAAGGGUGUCGCUGAGGGAUGGAGAAUCGAUUGGAAAGGGGAGACUCAGCAGGAUCCCUCCCUUACCUGUCCAUUUCCAGAUCUUUUCACACCUUGGGGACUCCUCCCUUAAACAAGGGGGCGGGGGAGAGACUAUUUUACUAAAGGAAGGGUGACCGCCCUGUAAUCAGGGUUCAGGUCUCUUUCCCUUUUCUCCUCUCUGCAUUGGCCCUCUUCCUGCCAAGAUCUAAAGUCAGCUCCCUUUAACUAGGGUGUGGGUCUUUCCCUGCCUUUCACAAGAGAACACUGCCACCGAGAAGGUAGUUCUAGAAACCAGCCUCUUGAGAGGGUUCAGGGUUUGUCCUACUAGCUGGCCCGUGCCCUCCUCACUCAUGCACUCAGCCAAGCCAAAGCCAGCGUCCUCUGCAUCCACCUGCACCCGCGUUCCGCCGCAAGCUCUCCUGCUCUCUGCCAGAGAUCGGUGCCGAAAAGUAGGAAAUAGGCAACUCAAAGGACAAAGUGGACAAGACGACAGAAGCACCAAAGAAACUGCAGGAAGAGGGAAGACAAAGCCACGGCCAAAGGCUGAGUACACUGCACACACCGCACCCCUCUACCGAGGGCUGGGGAUCGACACUUCGCCCCACACGCUUAAUCCCCCUUGAGGUGCCCGUUGAAAGGACCUCCCUGUAAACAGGGAUCAAGGUCCAUUCCUUGCCAAGCAAAAUGCUCUAUGGGUCCCUUCCAUAGCCGAGGCUGAGCGACCCCCCUUUAAGAAGGGUUGAGGUCUCUGUGGGUUUCAACUCCUGAGGGCCUAGCCUUUAAAAUGCCCGGUGCCAUUGACCUCUCCCUGUAAGAAGGGUGCAGGUCUCCCCUUUCUAGCUUGUCUUGGGCCGUUGGCACUCGCUGGGCAACGAGACCACCCUCUCCUGAGGGAACGGAGGCCUCUCCUUCACCGCGCUUUUCGCUCUGGCCCAUUGGAACGCCCCUGGCUUCGGGACCACCCUGUAAGGAGGGUUUGGGUCUCCUUUGCCCCGCCAAUUAAGCCACAGGUCACUUUGACACGCCAGGAAAAUGACUGCCCUGUAACCAGGGUGUAAGGUCUUAUUCCUCUCACGCUUAAACUAGGGGAGCCUUUUUGUGCCUGUGGCUGAGCGACCCCCCUUUAAGAAGGGUUGAGGUCUCUGUGGGUUUCAACUCCUGAGGGCCUAGCCUUUAAAAUGCCCGGUGCCAUUGACCUCUCCCUGUAAGAAGGGUGCAGGUCUCCCCUUUCUAGCUUGUCUUGGGCCGUUGGCACUCGCUGGGCAACGAGACCACCCUCUCCUGAGGGAACGGAGGUCUCUCCUUCACUGCGCUUUUCGCUCUGGCCCAUUGGAACGCCCCUGGCUUCGGGACCACCCUGUAAGGAGGGUUUGGGUCUCCUUUGCCACGCCAAUUAAGCCACAGGUCACUUUGACACGCCAGGAAAAUGACUGCCCUGUAACCAGGGUGUAAGGUCUUAUCCCUCUCACGCUUAAACUAGGGGAGCCUUUUUGUGCCUGUGGCUGAGCGACCCCCCUUUAAGAAGGGUUGAGGUUCUGUUUCUCUUAGUCACAGUAAAAUCCCCCGGAAUGAUUUCUACUUGGCUUUUUUGAGAUUUGAAGUGAAAUCUUACUUGUGACCUAUCCCGCUCACAUGGAACAUGGUGUGGCGAAGGGCCGGCUGUAAGGGGAUGGUGGAGGCCGUGGAAAAUUCGCCCCUUUUCUCAAAAAAGCCAAGAAAUGGCCCAACCAUGCUAAUGUCACAAAGUCUGGAAAUAAACAGGUGAGGUUUGGGAUACAGACCCUCACUUCCACGUGAUCCUUCCUCAAGUCCUCUUGCCCUGCCCAAUUUACACUGCUCAACCAACCACAACUUUGACCCUUUGUUUUCUUGUGCACAAGAAAGACACGGUUGGACUGAUGAGUGUUAACUGUAGAGAUUCGGACAGCUGCCUUAGUCGGGUCCGAAUUCCAGGCCUUGCGUCUCUUUGCUGAGAGACGGAGGAGAUUCCUAGGGCUAUGUUUGAAGGGCUUGAUGUGGCUCACGUGGUGUAGGUAGGUGUGGUGGUAUUCAGAGCCGGCACGUGGGUGCACCUAACCCUACUAACAGGACUGCGUCACAAGGAAGAGGUGUCUUUUUUUUCUGGUCAAGGUUACGGGGCACAAAGUUGUCAUUUUCUUGGUGGGGUAGGAAGGUAAGUCGGGAAGGGUGUCGCUGAGGGAUGGAGAAUCGAUUGGAAAGGGGAGACUCAGCAGGAUCCCUCCCUUACCUGUCCAUUUCCAGAUCUUUUCACACCUUGGGGACUCCUCCCUUAAACAAGGGGGCGGGGGAGAGACUAUUUUACUAAAGGAAGGGUGACCGCCCUGUAAUCAGGGUUCAGGUCUCUUUCCCUUUUCUCCUCUCUGCAUUGGCCCUCUUCCUGCCAAGGUCUAAAGUCAGCUCCCUUUAACUAGGGUGUGGGUCUUUCCCUGCCUUUCACAAGAGAACACUGCCACCGAGAAGGUAGUUCUAGAAACCAGCCUCUUGAGAGGGUUCAGGGUUUGUCCUACUAGCCGGCCCGUGCCCUCCUCACUCAUGCACUCAGCCAAGCCAAAGCCAGCGUCCUCUGCAUCCACCUGCACCCGCGUUCCACCGCAAGCUCUCCUGCUCUCUGCCAGAGAUCGGUGCCGAAAAGUAGGAAUUAGGCAACUCAAAGGACAAAGUGGACAAGACGACAGAAGCACCAAAGAAACUGCAGGAAGAGGGAAGACAAAGCCACGGCCAAAGGCUGAGUACACUGCACACACCGCACCCCUCUACCGAGGGCUGGGGAUCGACACUUCGCCCCACAUGCUUAAUCCCCCUUGAGGUGCCCGUUGAAAGGACCUCCCUGUAAACAGGGAUCAAGGUCCAUUCCUUGCCAAGCAAAAUGCUCUAUGGGUCCCUUCCAUAGCCGAGGCUGAGCGACCCCCCUUUAAGAAGGGUUGAGGUCUCUGUGGGUUUCAACUCCUGAGGGCCUAGCCUUUAAAAUGCCCGGUGCCAUUGACCUCUCCCUGUAAGAAGGGUGCAGGUCUCCCCUUUCUAGCUUGUCUUGGGCCGUUGGCACUCGCUGGGCAACGAGACCACCCUCUCCUGAGGGAACGGAGGCCUCUCCUUCACCGCGCUUUUCGCUCUGGCCCAUUGGAACGCCCCUGGCUUCGGGACCACCCUGUAAGGAGGGUUUGGGUCUCCUUUGCCCCGCCAAUUAAGCCACAGGUCACUUUGACACGCCAGGAAAAUGACUGCCCUGUAACCAGGGUGUAAGGUCUUAUUCCUCUCACGCUUAAACUAGGGGAGCCUUUUUGUGCCUGUGGCUGAGCGACCCCCCUUUAAGAAGGGUUGAGGUUCUGUUUCUCUUAGUCACAGUAAAAUCCCCCGGAAUGAUUUCUACUUGGCUUUUUUGAGAUUUGAAGUGAAAUCUUACUUGUGACCUAUCCCGCUCACAUGGAACAUGGUGUGGCGAAGGGCCGGCUGUAAGGGGAUGGUGGAGGCCGUGGAAAAUUCGCCCCUUUUCUCAAAAAAGCCAAGAAAUGGCCCAACCAUGCUAAUGUCACAAAGUCUGGAAAUAAACAGGUGAGGUUUGGGAUACAGACCCUCACUUCCACGUGAUCCUUCCUCAAGUCCUCUUGCCCUGCCCAAUUUACACUGCUCAACCAACCACAACUUUGACCCUUUGUUUUCUUGUGCACAAGAAAGACACGGUUGGACUGAUGAGUGUUAACUGUAGAGAUUCGGACAGCUGCCUUAGUCGGGUCCGAAUUCCAGGCCUUGCGUCUCUUUGCUGAGAGACGGAGGAGAUUCCUAGGGCUAUGUUUGAAGGGCUUGAUGUGGCUCACGUGGUGUAGGUAGGUGUGGUGGUAUUCAGAGCCGGCACGUGGGUGCACCUAACCCUACUAACAGGACUGCGUCACAAGGAAGAGGUGUCUUUUUUUUCUGGUCAAGGUUACGGGGCACAAAGUUGUCAUUUUCUUGGUGGGGUAGGAAGGUAAGUCGGGAAGGGUGUCGCUGAGGGAUGGAGAAUCGAUUGGAAAGGGGAGACUCAGCAGGAUCCCUCCCUUACCUGUCCAUUUCCAGAUCUUUUCACACCUUGGGGACUCCUCCCUUAAACAAGGGGGCGGGGGAGAGACUAUUUUACUAAAGGAAGGGUGACCGCCCUGUAAUCAGGGUUCAGGUCUCUUUCCCUUUUCUCCUCUCUGCAUUGGCCCUCUUCCUGCCAAGGUCUAAAGUCAGCUCCCUUUAACUAGGGUGUGGGUCUUUCCCUGCCUUUCACAAGAGAACACUGCCACUGAGAAGGUAGUUCUAGAAACCAGCCUCUUGAGAGGGUUCAGGGUUUGUCCUACUAGCUGGCCCGUGCCCUCCUCACUCAUGCACUCAGCCAAGCCAAAGCCAGCGUCCUCUGCAUCCACCUGCACCCGCGUUCCGCCGCAAGCUCUCCUGCUCUCUGCCAGAGAUCGGUGCCGAAAAGUAGGAAUUAGGCAACUCAAAGGACAAAGUGGACAAGACGACAGAAGCACCAAAGAAACUGCAGGAAGAGGGAAGACAAAGCCACGGCCAAAGGCUGAGUACACUGCACACACCGCACCCCUCUACCGAGGGCUGGGGAUCGACACUUCGCCCCACACGCUUAAUCCCCCUUGAGGUGCCCGUUGAAAGGACCUCCCUGUAAACAGGGAUCAAGGUCCAUUCCUUGCCAACCAAAAUGCUCUAUGGGUCCCUUCCAUAGCCGAGGCUGAGCGACCCCCCUUUAAGAAGGGUUGAGGUCUCUGUGGGUUUCAACUCCUGAGGGCCUAGCCUUUAAAAUGCCCGGUGCCAUUGACCUCUCCCUGUAAGAAGGGUGCAGGUCUCCCCUUUCUAGCUUGUCUUGGGCCGUUGGCACUCGCUGGGCAACGAGACCACCCUCUCCUGAGGGAACGGAGGCCUCUCCUUCACUGCGCUUUUCGCUCUGGCCCAUUGGAACGCCCCUGGCUUCGGGACCACCCUGUAAGGAGGGUUUGGGUCUCCUUUGCCACGCCAAUUAAGCCACAGGUCACUUUGACACGCCAGGAAAAUGACUGCCCUGUAACCAGGGUGUAAGGUCUUAUUCCUCUCACGCUUAAACUAGGGGAGCCUUUUUGUGCCUGUGGCUGAGCGACCCCCCUUUAAGAAGGGUUGAGGUCUCUGUGGGUUUCAACUCCUGAGGGCCUAGCCUUUAAAAUGCCCGGUGCCAUUGACCUCUCCCUGUAAGAAGGGUGCAGGUCUCCCCUUUCUAGCUUGUCUUGGGCCGUUGGCACUCGCUGGGCAACGAGACCACCCUCUCCUGAGGGAACGGAGGUCUCUCCUUCACUGCGCUUUUCGCUCUGGCCCAUUGGAACGCCCCUGGCUUCGGGACCACCCUGUAAGGAGGGUUUGGGUCUCCUUUGCCACGCCAAUUAAGCCACAGGUCACUUUGACACGCCAGGAAAAUGACUGCCCUGUAACCAGGGUGUAAGGUCUUAUCCCUCUCACGCUUAAACUAGGGGAGCCUUUUUGUGCCUGUGGCUGAGCGACCCCCCUUUAAGAAGGGUUGAGGUUCUGUUUCUCUUAGUCACAGUAAAAUCCCCCGGAAUGAUUUCUACUUGGCUUUUUUGAGAUUUGAAGUGAAAUCUUACUUGUGACCUAUCCCGCUCACAUGGAACAUGGUGUGGCGAAGGGCCGGCUGUAAGGGGAUGGUGGAGGCCGUGGAAAAUUCGCCCCUUUUCUCAAAAAAGCCAAGAAAUGGCCCAACCAUGCUAAUGUCACAAAGUCUGGAAAUAAACAGGUGAGGUUUGGGAUACAGACCCUCACUUCCACGUGAUCCUUCCUCAAGUCCUCUUGCCCUGCCCAAUUUACACUGCUCAACCAACCACAACUUUGACCCUUUGUUUUCUUGUGCACAAGAAAGACACGGUUGGACUGAUGAGUGUUAACUGUAGAGAUUCGGACAGCUGCCUUAGUCGGGUCCGAAUUCCAGGCCUUGCGUCUCUUUGCUGAGAGACGGAGGAGAUUCCUAGGGCUAUGUUUGAAGGGCUUGAUGUGGCUCACGUGGUGUAGGUAGGUGUGGUGGUAUUCAGAGCCGGCACGUGGGUGCACCUAACCCUACUAACAGGACUGCGUCACAAGGAAGAGGUGUCUUUUUUUUCUGGUCAAGGUUACGGGGCACAAAGUUGUCAUUUUCUUGGUGGGGUAGGAAGGUAAGUCGGGAAGGGUGUCGCUGAGGGAUGGAGAAUCGAUUGGAAAGGGGAGACUCAGCAGGAUCCCUCCCUUACCUGUCCAUUUCCAGAUCUUUUCACACCUUGGGGACUCCUCCCUUAAACAAGGGGGCGGGGGAGAGACUAUUUUACUAAAGGAAGGGUGACCGCCCUGUAAUCAGGGUUCAGGUCUCUUUCCCUUUUCUCCUCUCUGCAUUGGCCCUCUUCCUGCCAAGGUCUAAAGUCAGCUCCCUUUAACUAGGGUGUGGGUCUUUCCCUGCCUUUCACAAGAGAACACUGCCACCGAGAAGGUAGUUCUAGAAACCAGCCUCUUGAGAGGGUUCAGGGUUUGUCCUACUAGCUGGCCCGUGCCCUCCUCACUCAUGCACUCAGCCAAGCCAAAGCCAGCGUCCUCUGCAUCCACCUGCACCCGCGUUCCGCCGCAAGCUCUCCUGCUCUCUGCCAGAGAUCGGUGCCGAAAAGUAGGAAUUAGGCAACUCAAAGGACAAAGUGGACAAGACGACAGAAGCACCAAAGAAACUGCAGGAAGAGGGAAGACAAAGCCACGGCCAAAGGCUGAGUACACUGCACACACCGCACCCCUCUACCGAGGGCUGGGGAUCGACACUUCGCCCCACACGCUUAAUCCCCCUUGAGGUGCCCGUUGAAAGGACCUCCCUGUAAACAGGGAUCAAGGUCCAUUCCUUGCCAACCAAAAUGCUCUAUGGGUCCCUUCCAUAGCCGAGGCUGAGCGACCCCCCUUUAAGAAGGGUUGAGGUCUCUGUGGGUUUCAG